UAGGUCCCAGGUAUAGGGGAAACUCUGCCGGAUUUCCGGCAUGAAUUAGGCUGUCUAUUGCCUCUUUAGAGUUUUAUCUUAACUUAGUACUAAUAAAUUUAUAAUUUAAUUAUUAGGUGAUCGAGGUCAGCUAUUUUUCUGCAUCCAGCAGCCACAAUAGUCAUCGGUGUACUGCCACAGGAGGAGUUAUUUUACAGAGCAACCUGUUUUCUUCCUCGCAGGUUUAACGUCGGUUAUUUAAUUAUUUUACUAUCUUUUCUAAAUUUAAAAUCUAGAACUCCGCAUGUGUUAGUAAUAGUGUGGGCCUUGUUAGAAAUUGUGUUAAUUUAAAUUUUUGAGAUUAAUAAAUGAAGAUUUGUAUGGUAUUUAAA
This is a long non-coding RNA of Hevea brasiliensis (rubber tree), 371 nucleotides long. RefSeq lists it as uncharacterized. The record is from RefSeq and is a predicted model, not a curated record. NCBI's taxonomy places the organism in Eukaryota, Viridiplantae, Streptophyta, Magnoliopsida, Malpighiales, Euphorbiaceae. The transcript is spliced from 2 exons.